This 229-nucleotide long non-coding RNA is filed under the name Setaria viridis. RNAcentral describes it as "long non-coding RNA (SVIR_LNC010167)". Lineage: Eukaryota; Viridiplantae; Streptophyta; Magnoliopsida; Poales; Poaceae. The record is from RNAcentral.
GAUGGCGUCGUGGCAGGUUGAUGAGCAGGCCCCACGUGUGGAUCCACGUCAUCACGGGGUCAGGCGUAUUAAUGGAAGUUCUGAAGCUUUGGACCUAUAUGGGACAAUUAGCAAUUUGGGGACUUCAAUCUGUGUUUUAGAAGUUUGGAAACCUAAAUGACACAAGUUUAGGAACGUGCAUUUUACUCUUAAAUCAAUGAUGUGCUCUACUAAACAAAGCCAAGUUAUU